Molecule: long non-coding RNA, 523 nt
Organism: Perognathus longimembris pacificus (Pacific pocket mouse)
Lineage: Eukaryota; Metazoa; Chordata; Mammalia; Rodentia; Heteromyidae
Exons: 3
Source: RefSeq, a predicted model, not a curated record
AUUCCUUUACAGUCUGAUCCAAACUAAUUCCAUGAUACACCAAAAAUUUGAAAUUGCGGUGCUCAAAGGAACGAAUGAUUCGAACUGUAAUGGUCACUCCUUCAGCAGCCAUGUGAAGCAAUUCCUAGCAGCCCAGAAAUUUCCUUCAUAGGCAGGGCCUAGGGAAUCACUGAAGUGGGUGUGAAGAGAGAGCUAGAAAGGAAUAACACAGCAUAGCUUGUUAACUACCAAAUGUGCUAACAACUAUCCACGGACAUGAGAAUACAUAAGCAAACAAUGGCAUACACAGGCCACAAAAUACCCAAGCAGUAGCAGUGAACACAUUAGCAUGGACUGAUUUUAGAAAUGCUAUAUUAAGUGAGUAAAAGCAAGUUAUAUAACAAUCAGAGCAAGGAGAAAUUUAAGAAAAUACUUCAAGAUAUUAAAGAUGGUUUGACUAGACUACAUUCUCAAUCAUGUGGGUUCAAAAUUGUAAAACCUAAAAUUACGGUGGCACACACUUAUAUUUCCAGAUGUCAGGAGA